This 1630-nucleotide long non-coding RNA is filed under the name Oryzias sinensis (Chinese medaka). Its description in RNAcentral is "lncRNA (ENSOSIG00000012659.1)". Lineage: Eukaryota; Metazoa; Chordata; Actinopteri; Beloniformes; Adrianichthyidae. The record is from RNAcentral.
AUGCUAACAGAUAACUGGCAUCUGUGUUUAUUUGAUGUGUUUCAGGAUAUGGAUUCCAACCCAAGCGGUGCUCAUUUAUCUGAGCACACACUUAGCCAUAAUGGACGCAGUGAGGCCUCAAACCAUGAAUCCCCCUCUGCCAGUCCUGAAAGUCCAUCCUCCACCCCUCUCCUCACAUUUUCACAUUCAAACCAGACUCUGACAACUCCAGCUCACAUAGACGCUGACUCAAACGUCAUGUCUUUUCUAGAAACUCCACCCAGCAGCGAUUCCAAGCCUCCUGAUCCAGCUCCUCAGGAUGUGCUGCAAUCAAAGGCCGCUGACUCCUCCUCAGACCAACCCUCUCUUUUUUGGAGGAUGCUUGGACUCCACACCACUAUCCUCAACAGGAGUCCAGAAGCAUCUGGGCCCACUCUGAACCUCCGGCGUUCUGGUUCCUGCUUUCCUCUGUUUGGUGGAGGAGGCCUGUGACGACACCUUCUCAGAUAUUGGAAAACAAGUUUUUUUGUUACAUUGUUUUGCUCUUUAAAUUGUUUCAAUUCCUGUCCUUAAAAAUGUUUAUAUAACAAGAAUGUUAGUAUCAGGAGGAUUUUGUUUACAAAAAAAAGUUAAUAUUUGUUUAACUUAUUGUACAUUUAUGUCAUUUGAAGCAAUGUUCAACAGAUGAAAGCUAGAAAAUACAAUGAAAGUAUGUUUUCUGUUCUUUUUAGAAGGAUUUCUAUUUUAAUUUAAUUUAAACCCUUAAAGAUAAAUAUGGGAUACGUUUUUUAAGAACGACUUUUGAAAAAAAUAAAAAGUUACGGUUCAUUCUGUUGGUGUUGGAAAACUUUAUUGGGACAGCUUUUACCAUACAAUCACAAUAAACAAUAUUAAUGAUAUUACCUUAAAGAUAGAUUUCUGAUUGAACACAACCACAUAUAUGCAGACAGUCCAGCGCUGCAAUGGACAAACGCUAGCGGCACCAGAAGCUUUUUUAUUCUGUUUGCAUGGCUGCAAGAGGGUGACGCUUGCAAAGGCAGACUCUGGGUAAACCUUAUUAAGAUGGGAGAGUAAUGUGGUUGCUGCUGAAUUAGCAGCUGACAGCAGCAGAGGGUCUGUGCACUCAGAUCUUAUGGCUUUCAAAUCAGCCUUCACUAAAAAAUGGAUUUUUUUUGUCUGCUGUUCAGUACCAAUGUGCUAAUCCUCACUAUUUCCAUCAUAAGAAAAAUUUUAACUCCUAAUAAAGCUCCUAUGUUUUAGUAUAUAUAUAUAUAACAUCCUGUUAGUCUGUUUUUGAUGUACUUUAGAACCCAAAUGAGGCUAUGGCUGAGGAAAAUGAGCAUCUCCAUGAAGGUGAAAGAAGCUGAGUGGGCUGUGGCAACCCUCUGACCCUGACCAGGACAAAGUGGGUUUGAUGGAUGAGAGUCAAAGUAAAGCAAUUGGAGCCAUUUGGUUAAAGAAAAUCUGAUCAGACUUCUGUUUAUUUUGCAGCUAAAUGCAUUUUUUUAGCUGCUGCUCAUAUUGCAAUGCAAAGAAACCUACAGUAAUGUGAGAAGUCUUCAUUUUUAAAUCUCUUUUUAUUACAAUUAAUUUUCUUACAGAUGAAUUUUACAUUUUUUUUGCAUUUGCUAUUGAUGUUUUAAUAAACUUU